AAUAGAUACCCAGGUAGUCCACGCCGUAAACGAUGAGUGCUAGGUGUUAGGGGGGUCCAACCCCUUAGUGCUGAAGUUAACACAUUAAGCACUCCGCCUGGGGAGUACGACCGCAAGGUUGAAACUCAAAGGAAUUGACGGGGGCCCGCACAAGCAGUGGAGCAUGUGGUUUAAUUCGAAGCAACGCGAAGAACCUUACCAGGUCUUGACAUCCUCUGACAACCCUAGAGAUAGGGCGUUCCCCUUCGGGGGACAGAGUGACAGGUGGUGCAUGGUUGUCGCCAGCUCGUGUCGUGAGAUGUUGGGUUAAGUCCCGCAACGAGCGCAACCCUUGAUGUUAGUUGCCAGCAUUCAGUUGGGCACUCUAACGUGACUGCCGGUGACAAACCGGAGGAAGGUGGGGAUGACGUCAAAUCAUCAUGCCCCUUAUGACCUGGGCUACACACGUGCUACAAUGGGCGGUACAAAGGGCAGCGAAACCGCGAGGUGGAGCCAAUCCCAUAAAGCCGCUCUCAGUUCGGAUUGCAGGCUGCAACUCG
RNAcentral lists this ribosomal RNA (539 nucleotides) under uncultured bacterium. RNAcentral describes it as "bacterial SSU rRNA". It matches the Rfam family "Bacterial small subunit ribosomal RNA", at positions 777 to 1314 of the family's 1533-position model. The record is from RNAcentral.